Molecule: long non-coding RNA, 1042 nt
Organism: Monodelphis domestica (gray short-tailed opossum)
Lineage: Eukaryota; Metazoa; Chordata; Mammalia; Didelphimorphia; Didelphidae
Source: RefSeq, a predicted model, not a curated record
AUGCUAGCUAGUGUUAUUUUUGAUAGCUUGGGUCCUAGUGCCAAGCCCUCCUUGAUCUAUCUCAGCAUUUUUGUAAGUCAUGACCCUCCUGAGAGCUGGACAGAUUAUAUUUUUGAGAUGGUGAAGGCUGAACCCCAUUGUCUCUCCAGUGAAUAGAGGAUGAUUGGGGCCAUCCUUGGGACCAAAAGCAGUAAGGAAUUGUGUCAGCAUCUGGGCUUGUAACAAUAAGAUAUAUAUCCCAUGUACAUGGGUACAUGUAACAUCCUUAGGCACUGUAGGACUUUUAAACUCUAUUUCAUGGGGAGAAUUUCUAGAAGAGUUUAUCUACAUAUAUACAAUAGAGCUAUCAAAACAUUUUAUUUUAUUGAUAUAUUUUCUUUUUAAUAGUAGAUUCAUUUCUGGAUAUAUCACUACCUUUCCCCUUCCUAAUGAGAAUAGCCAUCAUAACAAAGAUUUUAAAAGAUAAAAGUGUACUUUGUUAAAAUAAUUUAACCUAUCAAUACAUCCAGUAAUCUACACCAGUGAUUAAAGAAUGGAGGUACAUUUUCACAACUCCUAUCUAUUGUCAAAUGAUCAUUAUAGUUGUUAGGUUUUCAGUUUUCUUCAUUUUUCUGUUUACACUGCAAUAGUCAUUAUGUAUAAAGCAUUGUUGGUUCAGUUUACUUUGUAUCAAUUCAUAUAAGUUUUCUUAUGGCACAGUCAAAUUUCAGUACAGUCAUAUUGUUGUUCUUCCUUCAUUUCAAAGAGGACCAAUUACAUUACAGAGUGAUGCCUGGACUUUGAGUGUGAACUGGAUUCAAGUGAGGCAGAGUUGCACAAAGUCAUCAAUCUCAUUGUCUUCUCCAGAGUCAUCCAAGAUGAAAAAAAAUGACAUCCAGAGAUAUAAAGGGACUUGCCUACAGUUGAGGAAAUUGGAACCUAAGGAUAUUUUACAAAACCACAUAAAACAAGCAUUUCUAUAUACAAAGAAAAAGAAGAUUGUAUGUAAAUGAAAUCAUAAAUAUCUUAAAUGUUUGGCAUACUUUUCCUUAUAAUUACAUAA